GGUGGACCCAUCUACUAAAAUGAUAUUAGAGCAUGUUGUAUGGGAUUGAAAAGUAGAAAAAAAGACUCCAAUUACCUGUCAUAUGAUAUGUAGUACCUUAAUCAAUGAGCCACUUGGAUGAUGAGGAAACAAGACACAUAGAGGAAUUACCUGACUUGAUGAUAGCUGUAGUAGGAGUAGUGAACUUCAAUGUUAAUUGAUAUUGACAAAAUUGGGCAUAUUCAUGUGCAGAUAGUCGUAAUAUUACUUUCUGCCAUUGUCUUCAAGGAAUUGUAACGUAGGCAAGUAGCUGAUUAUGUUGCACAAGAGUAAAACACAAAAAAGAGACCCAAAAUAUCCUAAAAAAGUUGUUGUAGUGAAUUCAGUUGCUAAAAAAUUAGGUCACAACCGAUACAAAUGCCUAGAAGCCAAAUUAGAAGUAGUUUCGAAGGUUGGAAUAUGGGGCCCAACACCUUAAAACAUAUUUGCUAGAUUUGUUGGAUCCCUCUGAGUUCGCAAUCUAGUUUGUUCGUCCCAAUUUGUGGAAUGUUUGCGUCCCAGUUCGUUAGGGGAUGCGACCGAAGUUGCCAAAAUAAGCAAAUCCAAAAGAAGAAGAAGAAGAAAAAG
RNAcentral lists this unclassified non-coding RNA (606 nucleotides) under Hevea brasiliensis (rubber tree). Lineage: Eukaryota; Viridiplantae; Streptophyta; Magnoliopsida; Malpighiales; Euphorbiaceae. The record is from RNAcentral.